UAAACUCUAUUUUAACACCAUAUAAACUAAGAGAAAUAAAAUAUCCUCCUACUUAUUCUUCAUAUCCAUCUUCUUACAUGCUUAGGAUUGUAUUCAAUAAAAUUAAUAAACUUUUAUUAGGUUUUAGAAAAUACAAAAAGCAAGGACAUGUCGCGAGUGUACACUUUGUUUUGAAUUAUACUUGCGGCUUUCUUUUGGGGAUUCCAUCGAGAGACCCAAGGUUCAUGUACUGAAACUCGCUUCUUCAAAUUUCCCUCUUCUCUGUUGUCGUCGUCUUUUUCAUUUUCUUUGCUUCUUUUCUUAUAGGUAACGCCUUCCUCGAUUUUCCAUCCUUUGUAAUUUCCAUUUGUAUGUGUUUUGAUUUUCUUUUUUUUGCUUCUUCUCUACAUUUGUUAGAUAUUGUUUUUAUUGUUAUCUGUUGUACAUUUGUCUAUUUGUUUGUUUUUGCUAAGGUCUGGUAGUUGGAUAUAUUGCGUUUUGGAGUGUUGCUUGUUAAGUGUAAAGAUGUGUAAGGUGUUGCUGUAGCCAACAACUGCAGAGAAUGUUACGAGGAGGAAACCUUCCAACACUGAAUCCUCAAUUUUUUGUUCGAAUAGCUGAUUUCAUCUCCUACGCUUUUUGGUUGUUGGAGUUAAUUUGUUGUGUUUUUGUGAUGUAUAUGUCGUCAGAGAUGAUGAAGUGCACAAACGCAUACGGCGAUGUUGCUUGUGGUUGUGGAGUUGCCUCUUCCUUCUUCGAUUGAAGCUUCAAAUACAACAAAUUUGGUGUUGUUUCCUUAUGAAGAAAUCCGUUACGCCAAUCCUAAUUUUUGAUAACAAGAAAUUAGGGUUAAUAUCCUAUUGGACAAAUGGGUUCAUUCAUAUAUAUUGAUGUUUCCAUUUGAUUCAGGGUUCUUCUUGUUUUGGUUCACAAUAAACUGAUACUUUUGAACGAAAUUGAUAUCGAUUUUAUUGAUGCAUUUUUCUCGUACAUACAUGUCAAAGCAAAACUAGCAACAAACUGUCAAUUCCAUUAUUAUAGUUCAUAUAUGUCAAAGAAAAACUAGCAUCAUAUAUGUUUAAUUUGGUUCUUGAAUAGUUACGGUUUAAGUAAAUGAUUAAAGUUGUUUAGAAGUAGUUAUAGUUGUCAAG
Molecule: long non-coding RNA, 1130 nt
Filed under: Lactuca sativa (garden lettuce)
Lineage: Eukaryota; Viridiplantae; Streptophyta; Magnoliopsida; Asterales; Asteraceae
Description: long non-coding RNA (LSAT_LNC007896)
Source: RNAcentral